UGGCGAACGGGUGAGUAACACGUGGGGCAACCUGCCCAAAANAGGGGGAUAACACUUGGAAACAGGUGCUAAUACCGCAUAACCAUAGUUACCGCAUGGUAACUAUGUAAAAGGUGGCUAUGCUACCGCUUUUGGAUGGGCCCGCGGCGCAUUAGCUAGUUGGUGGGGUAAAGGCUUACCAAGGCAAUGAUGCGUAGCCGAACUGAGAGGUUGAUCGGCCACAUUGGGACUGAGACACGGCCCAAACUCCUACGGGAGGCAGCAG
Molecule: ribosomal RNA, 265 nt
Filed under: uncultured bacterium
Lineage: Bacteria
Description: partial 16S ribosomal RNA
Rfam family: Bacterial small subunit ribosomal RNA
Source: RNAcentral